CGGCCGCGAUGCUCGCAGCAGCUCUCCUGCGCCGUCCCCGCGGGCUGGAGCGGUGGCACGGGGGCAGAACUGCCCGUGGCUCUGCGUUUAGCCCCCUUCUCCGGGCUGGGUUUCGUAAUGAAAGAGCACAGAGUGCUUCGAAAGCAACCGGGCAGCUGCUGAAGGAUGGCUCCAGCACUGCUGUGCCUUUUCCAGUGCUUUCCCAGGCUCCAGACAGAAAGCGAUGCAGGUUCGCCUGGUGGGAGAGGUGGAGAAACUACAGUGACAGCGUUGAGCGGCGUACCCGAGAGGCCGAGCUGCCGGCGAAGCGCUCGAGCCGCCCGCCUCGCUGGCAGACUUUCCCGGCCGAGCUACGUAAGCGUACGAGCCCCUCGGUUCUCCGCCAGCAGAGCGAUCGCGGUGUCGGAGAUGUUGUCUGAAGUCAUCGUUUGCACUGCAGUCUGGAGCCUCGCAGACAGGAAAAGGGCCGGUGGGAUGUCAGCAGCAGCACCGUUGGCCGGGCGCGCGGGCGAGAGGCUCCUCCGCAGCCCGCAGGAGGAGGAGGAAGGACGGCAGCGCCUUCGCGGGAGCAGGGAUGCAGCUUCUGCUGCUCUUCCUGGGUGUCCAGUCCCUGCCCAGCUCAGCGAGCCAAGUUUUCACGUCUAAAAUUACAGCCAUCAAAGCAGUCUUGCAGGUUCAGUGGGAACCUGAGCCCCAGGAUAACCAGCGUGGAAAGCACUGCAUGCUCAGGAGAGGCAUAAAACCGUAUAAACCCCUAUUCUGCAAACUCCAAAAGCUGCUGGAAGAAAAGGCUGCCUUGCCGGCAUUAACCCCGUGGGCAGCUCCCUGCCCGGCAUGCCGAGAGCAGAGCGCGCUGCGUCGGUACGAAACCAGGGCGAGAGGCUGAGCUCAGGCGGGCCAGAGAUUUUAUUGCUCCCAAACCAAGGAGCCUGCUCUGCGGUUUUCAUGAUGGAUCGCUGCCCUUUCGUCUCAUCGUGAUUUGGCUGAAACUCGAGACAGAUGCGUAUCAUCUCUAUGGGCCCGUGGCAUGCCUCAUCUCACUGCUUGACACAAGAACAUACAGCAAGUGCUUCAUGGACAAGAUACAUGUGCUUUGGCUGUAUAAAGUAGUAAUGUUCUUCCUGUAAGAGAAAAAUUUAAUUUUGUCCUGAAUUCCACUAUACCCAAACAGAUCUCCAUUUAUAGCCUGGAUAAUAAAUCAAAGCAACAUGAAGUCUCCUGCA
Molecule: long non-coding RNA, 1223 nt
Filed under: Struthio camelus australis
Lineage: Eukaryota; Metazoa; Chordata; Aves; Struthioniformes; Struthionidae
Description: lncRNA (ENSSCUG00000016359.1)
Source: RNAcentral